UGGGAAAUGGUGUUAGUUCCAUGUAAAGCACUCUUGGUCUCGGAGGAUUUAACAAAUUGUUAAACGAUAAGUACACGCAGACAUCAAUAAAUAUCUUUAUUUAUUUCUCUAUAUGUAUAUACAUCCCCAUUACUUAAAACAACUCCUAAAAAGUUUUGAAUUUACUCUGCUUUGAGGAGUAAUUAUUAAAAUUAGAAGAAAAUUAAGUUUAUGCUUUUUUCCAUUGUUUCAGAAACAGAAUUUGAGAAUAUCUUCAAUUAGCCUAUUGGAGAUCAAAUCCAGUUUCCUAGCUUCAAAAGAGACAUGUGGUUGCUAAAAUUUGUUGGGAAUUAACUAGGAAGUGUUUUGAGUACCCUGCAUAGUGUCAUCCAAGAUUCAGGACUCAUGUAGGUUAGAGCAUGGGUUCCCAGUCGCUUCGACCUACUUUAAUUUAUCGCAAGGGCCAAGCUACUAUGCCCUUGCUUGGUAGUUCCUGACAUAGAAUUAUUCACAUGAUAAAGGUUCUAUUUCCAAACAUGAGUCUCUGAAUGUGGUGUUUGUUGUGUUCUGUGACAAAUUCUUGAUCUAAUUAGAAAUCCUAGAGUCGAGGUUUGACAUCUAGAAUUUGAAUUUUUGCUACUAAAUUUCCUGAAUCUAGCUCCUAUUUUUUUUUCCAAAGUUUAUUUUACACAUUCUUUAAGCAAUUUAAUGAGUGGAGUUCAGAAUUUAUUCUGAAGUGAUUCUCUUCUUUGGCAAAGACUGAUGGAAAGAGUUUUGCGGUGGUGACUUAGACGACAGAACCAGUGAGUUGGUUGCUGGACUCAAUCGAAUUACGCUCACUUGCAUUAACUGAUGAGUUAUUGGCCAUUCAACAGCAAGGCCCUCAAGCUAUUGGCUUCUUUGGGACAGGAAACAUGGGAUUUAUGCAUCAGGAACUAAUUGAGAUUCUUAGCUAUGCAAUGGUUACAGCCAUAAGAUGCUGUGAAUGUGUUACGAGUCGUUUUAUAUUGAAUUUGACUGCUGACAUCUUGCGAAGUUGUAUCUCUAUUGUUUAAGAGGCAGAUACUCAAUACUAUAGCUUGACCUUUUUGACUUUAGGUUGAGGAUUGUAGUUAGCUAUGGAAUGCCAGCACCAAAUAUUCAUUUUCAAUUUAUAGAUAAAGUCUUUUGUCUUGAGAGUA
This is an RNA transcript of Eucalyptus grandis, 1160 nucleotides long. RefSeq lists it as uncharacterized. The transcript has 2 exons. NCBI's taxonomy places the organism in Eukaryota, Viridiplantae, Streptophyta, Magnoliopsida, Myrtales, Myrtaceae. The record is from RefSeq and is a predicted model, not a curated record.